GUCUCUGUAGCUCAACGGAUAGAGCGGUAGCGUCCUAAGCUGACGAUGGGGGUUCGAUUCCCUCCAGGGACACCA
Molecule: transfer RNA, 75 nt
Filed under: Candidatus Uhrbacteria bacterium CG10_big_fil_rev_8_21_14_0_10_48_16
Lineage: Bacteria; Candidatus Uhriibacteriota
Also listed under: 1 other name
Description: tRNA-Arg
Rfam family: tRNA
About the family: Transfer RNA (tRNA) molecules are approximately 80 nucleotides in length. Their secondary structure includes four short double-helical elements and three loops (D, anti-codon, and T loops).
Source: RNAcentral